Molecule: long non-coding RNA, 12104 nt
Organism: Pongo pygmaeus (Bornean orangutan)
Lineage: Eukaryota; Metazoa; Chordata; Mammalia; Primates; Hominidae
Exons: 3
Source: RefSeq, a predicted model, not a curated record
UUCGCCGCUGCCUCCCUCCCUCCGCAGCUUGACCCGGUAGUGAAGGCAGAGAGAGAGGCAGGCUGGGUCCGCCUGGCAGCCUACGGGAGGAGGCGGGAGCCGGGAAGGAGGGGAGCCGAGGCCCGGCGUGGGGAGGCCGGCAGGAAGGGCCUCGAGCCCAGUGCGGACCUUUCUUCAGCCUCUGUGCGGCCGAGCCGCGCGCCAGGCUGCUGUGCGAGGAGGACGCGCUGACUUCCUCCGACAUGGGCUCUGAUAGAGCAGAAAUAGCGGGACCUGGACUUGUGGCGCGCCUGGUGCCUGGUGCCACAUCUCGGGCUCUGCGAGCCUCCUGGCGCGGGAUCCUGCCAAUGCAGGAGAGCACAUAUCAAUGAAGAAAAGACAAAAUGUAUUUAUCCAUGAAGCUGAGGUUAAGAAACAAGUGUCUUCAAGAGCCGGGGACAGCACUGGGUCUGUGCAGAGUUGAGAGAUGGUGAUGACAUGUGGUUUCCAGCAUUCCUGGCCCAGUCCAGGGACACUGUGGGUGUGCCCAGCUUAAGUCCAGUAACUGGAAAUACAAGCCCAAGUUCUGGAGAGUUUGAGCUGCAGAGAUAUAUAUGGGGACACUUUGAACCUUGACUCAUUGGCCAUAACCAGCAGAGUGGAAAAUACAAGAAGAGAAAAAAACAUUGAACUGCGAUUUUAUAACACCCUUUACUAGGCAGAGAGAAGAGGAAAGACCAGGAAAGAAAACUGUAUUACAAUGUGAAAACUUAAUGUUGAGAAAUUCAGGCAUCUUGGGGUUAGUGGGGAGAAGUUUUAGGGGCUUAGACUCUUCAAAACACAUGUACAGAAAUGCAUAUUUCAUCUGAUAUCUUAUCAAAUGACAUUUAUAGUGCUAAUCUUUACCUCAAGACUUCACAUCUUUUGGUGAUGGCAUCUUUUAGGUUUAUAGCAGUUAAGUUUGCAUGAAAGCACCAGGGCUGUUUCAUUUCAGUCAAGAAUUAAUGUUCAUUGAUUGUGCUUCUGCAUUUCAUGUAACUAUUGUAGAAUUUGUUUUAGUUUUAUGAGGGAAUAAUUGGUCCAACUUCUAUAUAACUCAGGAAUUUACUCUCAAACAACACUGUCAAUUAGUUACUUAUCUCUCUGGAAAUGAUCUGGGAACAUGGAGAGGAAAGGGAGGAAGAGGCAAAAUCUGACCACUUAAAUCUAAGCAUAUUAGAUCGUUUUAUGCUAGAAAGUCCUGAAUGAUGUGACUUUCGUUCUUGUAAAACACCUCUUUGCAUAGAUUCAUGGCCCAAACAGUAUAUAAACAGUGGAGAAGGAACUGCAUUUGCAAAUAGUUCAAAUCAUUGCUCCAUCUUAACUAUGCAGUUCACAAAGUGUGAAGAAAUUUGAUCAUCUCAAAAAAGAUAAUGUGAAAAAAUAUGUUUUGUUCUGUGACUUUAAAGUCUUGCAAUAUUUUACAUAAAUGAUAAUGGGUGCUUUAAUAAGAACCCUUGAUACUUUUGUUAUUGUAUUCAAUAUAUGCAUAUAAUACAACAGGAAGAUAUUGUGUUGGAUUUGGAAAUGUAUUCUUUCUUAUGCAAUCUUAUGCAGUCAUACUGCUUGAAUAUCAUUACCUGAAUUUAUCUUUCUUUUUUGUUGUUGUUGUUGUUUUGCACUGUACUUAUUUGGUGCCUGUCAGUCUUUUAUCAGCAGUUUAUAUUCUACUAAACUCAAAAAGACAAUCUCAUACCUUUUGUAAUUGUAGGCAUUCCUUAGUAGAUUUUUAAAUACACUUCAAAAAUUCAAGUACUUUGAUUUCAUGCCAUCAAGUAGCUGAAUCUAUCCCCCCCUCUCUUUUUAAAUUUAAGUGAAUAGUUCAAUUUCUGUCACUUUCUACUUUGUGAAUUGUAAAUCUUUUAAAACCAUCUUGCCAUUUUUCAUGCACUUACCCUUAUAGAAAACUCUGUGAAACACUACUUAUCUGACUUUUAUGUUUUUAACUCCUUUUUUAUAUUACUAUUCCUUCUGCUUUCUAAAUGCACAUAUUAAUUUGUUCUUUUUAUUCUCUGUAGCUCUUUUCAGUAUAUGAAUUCAGUUUCCCAUCAAUCCCCAUACAAUUAAAAAAAAGUUGAGUAUUCUGUUAUUUUAAUAUGAUAUCUAGUGCCCAUAUUCUAAUUCUGCCUCUUAUUUUUAAAGUAAUUUUAUUGUUGAUUUAAAAUGACAAAAGUUUCAAUUCCCAGAAAGUGAAAGGAAACAAAGGAAUAAUAUUAUGGGCUUAAUUUUUAUCAGUGAACUUGUAGGGCAAGAAAAGAUUUGGGGAAGGAAAUGAACAUAUUAUAUUGCAAAAUAGUAAGGAAAAAUCAGAUGUGUUUUCUAGUCUCUGGAAAAGCAUGUUUCAAGAAAUUCAAUGAAAAGUUCAUCGUGCUUGCUUAGAUUGUUGAGAAGCAAAAAUGCUGGUGAACAUUUGGAAGCAAUGAGAAUGUAAUUCUAAUCAUACUAUUUUAAUAGUGUUGCAAAACUCUCCAAACACUACUCUCUGUGGAUGUCUUUCAGAAUAUGAUGAAUACUAGUGGUCUUAUUCUGCCCUUUUCUCUCUACCACAAUAUAUACAUUGUAUAUUGCGUACACAUAUUUUCCAAAUAUUACAUAUAAUUUCAUGUAAUUUAUAGACCUAUUAAGGCCCAACCAUUUCUUGGAUAGGGGAUUCUUUGGAAGUCCAGCUUAAAUAAAGCCCUUAUAGAAAGUUUUUUUUAAAUUUAUACAUAAUCACCUAAAGUAACCUUAUCUACUGAACUCUUAGUACAUGCUACCGGAACCUUUUUUCACGUUUCUUCCUGGCUUGCAUUACAACACUGUUGACAUAUCUCAGCCUCACUUCUAGGCUUCUUUGAGAGCAUGACUCAUGUUUGUAUUCCUCACUGAGGUUGAAUGAAUAAGAGAAACUACAGUAGUAGGAAAAAAAAGUACAUGUAGAUAUCAGUGAAUAUCUGGAUCUAUUAUAAUGGAUCCAUUAUAGUAAGCACAAAAUCAACUGACACCAGCAAAGUAAACCCCAAAUUUUUAAUGGUAUUUUAAUAGAUCAAGAGGAGCAAGCAGAUUUUUGAGACAGUUGUCUCCUACUUUCUCUGUCACGGGGAGUAAUUUUAAAAGAAAAAUGGAGGGUAAGUUUCUUUAAGAGAAAAUUGUAGUUUACAACAGGUCAUGGGAUAAUUAGAAAUAAUUUAAUUGCUUUAGACGAUUUUAAUCUUUCAACUGCUUGCAAUUAGAUCCUAAGGCAAUAAAAGAAUAAGGAGGUUUGGAAAACCAUUGUCUGUAAUCUCUGAAGAAAAGUGGACAUUAGGGGAGUCAGUUGAAAAGCAAAGCUAUCACCAUUUUCUAAAGAGGAAAAAGGUGAACCUCACAAACUGUAAACCAAAAAAAAUAGGACAUCGAGAGAAAGAAUAUGAAGCUAGCAUAGGUUCACAAAGAAUGAGUCAAAUCAAACAACAUGCAUUUUUUAUUUAUAAAGCAUGACUUGUUCGUUGUCAAUUCAUGUUAGCUUAAUCAUUAGGCAUUAAUGCCAUCACUGCAAUGCAUAUGUCAGCAAUAAAUAAUCAAAGACCAGGCUUCCAUCAUUCUGUUUAAUAUCUUCAAGUAAUGCUUAAGUUUGCAAAUGCUCUUUUAACACAUUCUCCAUAUGCAGCCUGCCCAGCACUGCACACAAUAGACAUGUUACUUCCCCCUCACAAGCACUCCUAAUAUUUCAUGUGCUCAUCCAAUUGACUUCUCCCACUGGUGCCUCUUAUUGAAUUUGUAGAAUCAUACCUGCUCCUUUUUCAAAACUCUUCCGAGUUUUUUCUUAAAUAAUUCACUGACCCCAAAGUUGUCAGAUAUUGAAGACUACUCGCACAAUUUCAAUAUUAUAAAUGUAUAAUGUAAUCAAAAUUUGUAUAAUGUACGAUGUACUUUGGUAAAUAAAAGUAUGCUGUGAAUAAAUACAUAUGAUACAAUUCAAAAUUUUACAUAAAUAUGUGAUAAAAUUUAGCUCAUAUUCUUUUUUUUUUUUUCUUUGAGAUGGAGUCUCACUCUGUCGCACCCAGGCUGGAGUGCAGCGGCACAAUCCCAGCUCACUGCAACUUCUGCCUCCUAGGUUCAAACGAUUCUCCUGCCUCAGCCUCCUGAGUAGCUGGGAUUACAGGUGCCCACCACCAUGCUCAGCUAAUUUUUUUCUAUUUUUGUUGUUGUUGUUUUUAGUAGAGAUGGGGUUUCACCAUGUUGGUCAGGCUGGUCUUGAACUCCUGACCUCAGAUAAUCCACCUGCCUCGGCCUCCCAAAGUGCUGGGAUUACAGACAUGAACCACCAUGCCCGGCCUAGUUCAUGUUCUUUAAGGACAAUUAUGAAUAUUUUUGUGCACAGUUAAUUUUCAUUAAGAUAUUGAUCAAUUAAUAGCCAUAUAUGUUCUAUAAAUUAAUCCUAUCUAGUCUCAAUCUUAAAUUGUUCGCAUAUACUAAUCUAGUUUAUUGUUUGCAUAUAUUUUAUAGUGUAGAGAUUAGGCAUUUUAAUAAAAUUUUAAAAUUUCCGAGACAUACUGUUAAUGACUAUGCUUCCUACUAUAGGCCAUAAUUAAUUUUUUUCUAUUGUCAGCAAUAUUUUGGUAGGGAUGAUAAGGAAAUAAGGAAAUGUUUCCUUCAUUUGUUAUCAAUAGGUGUUUGGGGAUUUUAAAAUGAAAAUUGAAGAAGUAAAAGACAUCAUAUAUUUAGUUUGUUUGAUUUCGUGGCUUCAAGAGUUCAAUAAUUUAUUGAAAUAUUUUACAGACCAAAAGAACAACAGAUAUAUUACAUUUAUAAGCCCCCACAUAUUUUAAAGGAUAAUGGUUUAUAUAUGAAAAUUCCAUGAAGCUUACACUUCAUUAGGAAAAGCUAAAUAAAAUAAGUUUACAUUUCCUAGGACUAAUGGAAAUUUAUUUCCCAGUCCUCUUCUCUGGAGACAAAUGUAGGUCUCUCUUGAAAAGCAGAAAGAUUUGCAUAUGAGGUAUGAUUUAGUGGGCUAGAAACAUCUUUUCCACCCUUCCCAAAAUGUUUCACUAUGUUUUAUCAUACUAUCUGAUAAUUUUGCACCAAAGUUUUCUUUCUGUGUUAAGAAAAUGCAAAUAUCUCUGAAUGGGUCUCUUUGCUUUAGUCAUACUCAUAUGGCUACUACUGAACAAAAUAUGUUCAUUACAGGAUGAAGGGAAUGUUGCCAGCCAGCAAAUCCCUGGAGUCUGCACUACACCAAACGUUGCUUAGCAAUUUCCACGAUUUUCUCAGUCUAAUUUGCAAGAAUCAAGGAGAUGUUUGUGUAUGCUACAUGAAGUUGUAAAAUUGGUAUUUAUUGUAUGUUUCUAUAUUGAAAGCUUUACAAACAAAGGAAAUGGAAAGUUAACAGGUGGAUAUGAUAGUGUGGCACUACUUUAGCUGGAUGGUAAGGGAGAGCUUCUCUUAGGAAGUGUUUUAGGCCAGGACUUGAAUAAUGAACGGUAUCUAGUUGUACAAAAAUCUGGGGGAAAGACUUUUCAGGCCCAGGAGAAAUGAAAAUUCUUUUCAUGCAUACAAGAAUGAAAGUGAAAAUUACCUACUCUAUGUCCUGAAGUGGGAAGUUGGCUUGCCAGAGAGUAGGUAAUUUUCACUUUGAUUCUUUUAUGCCUUCAAUUAUACUACUUCUUAGGUUAGUUCAUAAGGGCUUCCACAGUUUGGUUCCUACUUAAAAUUUAAAACUUCCCUAACCCAUUCCCACCAUAUAUUGUGCUAAUCCAUGCAUUUGUGACUUUGCGUAUGCUGUUUUCAUUGUUUAAUAUUCUUCUCAUGCAUUCUUUCUUUCCUGAUAACGAACUCAUCUUUGAAACUCCCCUUCAAGCAUCCUCUCCUUUAGGAGGCCGCUUCUCACUGUCUCCUGCCUACCACUCAUUGAAUUGUUCAGUUUUUAAGCUGCCAUUGUCUUGUGCAUUUGACACAUUGCUUUGCAAUUACUGAUUUACAUGUCUGCUUUUAUCACUGGUGAGGUUCUUUAGGAGAGAGACAUUAUUAAUUCAUCUCUGGGCACAUAUGUUCCAACAUAUUAGAAGUACUACAGAGUGCUAUUACUAUGUAGUAUGUAGUAUUAGUAGUAGUUACUCACAAAUCAUUUUUAAAUAAGUGAUUAUAAUAUCUUUUUGUUAUUAUGAUUUAACACAAGAUAGAAUUUAUUUUCAGAAGUUUCCAUGAUAUAUUUGUUCUAGUUAAAAUCCAAUAGCCAUUAGAAUAUUACCAUUAUUUAAUGUAAAACAAUAAAAUAUUAAAUAUGAUCAUUCAUAUUUAAUGCAAACCGAACUCAUGGAAAUAUUGUGUAAAGAUCAAGUAAUUUUUGACAUACAAUUUUAAACUCAGCUUUUCAUAUAGCAUACCUUAUGGUAUAUUUUCAGCCUAUUUUUAAAUAUGUUGGCAUUGAAAGCCAGUUACUAAUUUGUUGAAUUCAUUAUUUCUUUUUAAGUUAUAGAAGUAGAAUUAUGUUUGAGACAUUCAUUGCAUGACAUUUACCAGAACUUGAGUUCUUAACAUGGAACCUGAGAGCUUCUCCAAUUCUUAAGUCCCUGGGAGAAAUAGAUUAGCUGGAUGAGGAACUGAGAGGAAAAAUGGUCAGAGAUGUAGCAAGAGUUGGCAAGAAGGGACAAUGAUUUGCUUUCAAGGAGAUUUUUUCAUUGGUCUGUUUUCAGUGACAAACCCACUGCGAUAAUACAUGUAAAGUGAAAACAUUCAGGAAGUUCCCUUAGAAACAUUUUUCUGGCAGUUUCUAAUUCUACAACAUUGUAUAAGUGAAAUACCAUAGUUACUGUCAUAGUAAAUUGAGCCAAGAGAAACAAGGGAACAGGAGAAGAAAAGAAUUAAAGAGAGUUUUGUCUUUCAGUCUUCACUAUUUUUCUUCUUGCUUUUACCAGUCAUUCAAGUUUAUAUAAUUUCUUUGGAGAGGCUUCUACUAUGCAGGUCUUCCUUAAAGUCAUUGGUAUUACCGGGCAUGAUAUGUGAGCCUUUAAUAUCAGUCCCAUUAUCUCUUUAUUUUUAAAGUUUAUAUCAGUACAGAGUCCUAGAUUCUUAAUUAAUUUAAUAGAUUAGACUUUACUGCUAACAUUCUUUAUUCUGAUGCUCAAAUUUUCCAAAAUUUGGCCAGCAGGGUUCCUUAAAGCUGGUUACCUUGCUCUUUCAACAUGUCCCUUUGAUUCUUUUUAUUUAUUUAUUUAUUUAUUUAUUUAUUUAUUUAUUUAGAGACUGAGUCUUGCUCUGUCUCCCAGGCUGGAGUGCAAUGGCACAAUCUUAGCUCACUGCAACCUUUGUCUCCCAGGUUCAAGCAAUUCUCCCUCAGCCUCCCAAGGAACUGGGACUACAGGCAUGUGCAACCAUGUCUGGCUAAUUUUUUUUGUAUUUUUAGUAGAGACAGGGUUUCACCAUGUUGGUCAGGCUGGUCUUGAUCUCCUGACCUCAAAUGAUCCAUCACCUGGGCCUCCCAAAGUGCUGGGAUUACAGGCGUGAGCUGCCACACCCAGCCGUCCCUCUCAUUCUUUAAGUACUUCCAUGUUUUCUAAUGUACCAGAUGUUCCAUAUUAUUUUGUUAUUUGUCUUCCCCAGCUCUGAAAUCUGCCUUUCCUUCAAGGAGCCUUGGUUCUUUCUAGUGACAAAUUAUAUUUAGAAACCAAGAUCUGGGUAUUUGACUUGUAUAUUGCUAUUAGUUGGCCAUUGUUUCUAGUCUCUUUCAGUAGACAGAGCUAAGAAAUGUAAAAAGAAAUAUUUGAAUGUAUGUAUAUGUAAUAUAUUAAGUACAUUUAAACAUAUUAAAUUCAUGAGUUCAUACUAAUACUUUCAAUAAGCCACAAUUCCCUUUUCAUGUUUUCGAAGGAAAAAUAUCCAUUGUCUAUAUACAGUGGACAUAGAUAGUAAUAAUACUGAUCUUGAAAAGAGCAAUCUUAAAUAGAUCCCAUUAAUAGUUAAAGAUAACAUAUCUUAGAAUUCUAGAUAUUAAAGAGAGAGAUUAUCUAGAGCUGUGAUCUAGCUAUUUUAUAGAUCUUUGCUGUGCUGUUUUGGAUUUGUGUUAGAGUAGAACAAUCAGAUGACAAACGCUCAUCCCACAUGGAAAAAUCAAAGCAUUCAUUACAGAGAGAAUUUUGAAAUAAAUGCAUAUAUAAAAAAUAUAUAUGCAUAUAUAAUGCAUAUGUAUAUGCAUAUAAAAUAUAUAUAUAAAAUGGGGGUUAUAAACAAUGAAGGAAAUAGUGAUACUAUAUAUGUGGGAACAAUACUAGUAUCCUCCCUUUGGAUGAAUACAGUAGCUACAGAUGCAAUUCUGGGGACUCUGUUUAACAAUAGCUUAACUAUUGCUUGGCUACAAGCAUGGAUAACUUGUUCAAAGAUAAUGAGGAGUUGUAAAUAUUUAAAUAAACAGGAUUUGCAACAUAAAAAUCUUUGUGACUACGUGUCUGAAUUCUUAGAGUUUCCUCCCAGCAAGGCAUUGGAUGUGGCAGACUUUUCUGUAAUGGUCCACCUCGCUCUAUUUCAUGAAAAGCCAGAGCUUCUCUACUUAGUUUGCUAACCCCAAAUAUAUAAAUUCAAUAGAAGUACUAGCCUGUUUUUACUGGUUUAUUUGCUUUAUCUAAAAAAAAAAAAGGCAUAGUUUAAAGUCUGUUUUUGAUAGCGUAACAAAACAAAGGUUCUCAUUUUAAUAAUGCAUCACAUAUACACUUGGUAACUAUUGCAUAGUAGUAAUUUAAUAACUUGAAAAAAUAUAUUUAUGCAUGUAUGUGUAUAUGUUCAUAUAUAUGUUAUUUUUAAUUUCAGAAGUAAAAAUAAUAUUGGAAGAGGCCACAGUUAUUAUAAAAAUAAUUUGACCAGUAUUGGACAAUGCAAAUAACAAUUAUUUAGAAGUUUCUGUGCAACAGAUGCCAUAUAUGUUACAUUUUAUUUGAUCAUCAAAACAAAAUUGUCAUAGAUAUUAUUAUCCCCAUUUCAUAGAAGAAGCUGAGAUUACAUAAUUUGUUCAACUUGACCAACUUCUUAUAACUAAUACAUAGUAGAGAUAAGGUUGAAACCUUGUUAGGUUUGACUCCAGACCCCAACCUCUUCUGAGUGCAUCAUAAAAGGCUUUGGUCUGCCUGUGGCCAGUAACAACUUUUACUAAAUUGAUUCUUUGCUUUUCAUCUGUUAAAGGAAGUUAUUCACCUAUUUUGAUGAUCCCCAAUGUCUUUAACAUCAAUAAGUGAGUCCACCACACGAUAGUUUUUAAUGUUUUGUUUCCAUGAUUACAAGAUUAAAAAACUAUUAAUAGUGAUACUUUUAAUUUUGAUUUUAUUAAUUAAAACACAUCUGUCUACAUCUGAAGAAUAGCACUUGUGACAACAGCAUAGACGGCUUCAUUUUGAGGAGUAAAUUACAAUUGAACAUGAACCAAAGAUACAUAGAGAAGGUGUGGAGCACACAAAUGUGAUUGAAAGCUGGCGUGGAGUCAACUUAAAUUGACUUUUUCUCAAAGGGCCCCUAAAAGAGGGUAGAAUCCCAACAGAUAGAGUCUAUGGAGAGAUAGACUGCUGAGACCCAUAUUAUGUUCAGUGAAGUGCAGGCAAGGAAGGGAUCCUUAGCAAAAUGGGGAGAGGAAUGGAUGGUCUGAAGAACCCUGAAGGAACUGAAACACUCUGCAAAGGAAAGAAGAUCGAGUAUCAGUGUUGACCCCUGCCAGACCCAGGCAGCAACAACGGCAGCUCACAAAGCACCAGAACAAACGCACUUUCUUGUGCCCCUACGUGUCUUCCCUUCACCGUCUUGAAUCCUGGUGUCAUCAUAAACUGUGUAAGUUAACAAUUGAGGAGGGGAAGAAUGAUAAAUUGGGAAAAUAGGAAAGUAUCUGUCUAGGCCCUACUUUCAUGCUGUAGGCCAGGCUGCUGUAGCAUGGCAGAUUAGGCAACUGCAGAAGCCUUAAUUUUGAGUGAAAGUUGGAGUUUUUAUUCUGCUCUGGCUGUACCUAUCAGUUUCAAAACUGGAAUAGUUUAAAUGACUAAAGUACUAGGAAGAUUUUAUUACUUAAUAUAACUAUGGAGAACUGACCAAGAUUUUAUCUAGGGGAAGGAGUAUCACCCUACAGAGCAGAUUUUAAGGGACAUUUUGAGAGAAAACAGUUACUUAGUGAUUUAAUGUUGCUAAUUCUGUUCUUUAGAAUACCAUCAUGUAUUUAUAUCCCUAUAUAUCACAUAACUAAAAUAUACAUUUAUCUGUACACGUGUGUAUCAUAUGGAGCACAUUUUCUUUUGCAGGGUUUCUUUGUUUUAAAUGUCUAUUUCGUUAUUUUCUUGAUUGAAUUUCUGUGAAUGCUUUUUUCCUCAAUGCUUUAGCUGUAAGCAAAUAAGGUAAGGACUUUAUAUGCAAUAUUCUACAUGUUUUGUUUUAUAAUUAGAGAAUAUCUUAUUUUAUCUAAACCUCAUGUAUCACGUGACAUAUUUGAUACCCUGUCAUAUAUCAUACUUGCAUGCAAAUGUUUAUAAAACACAAAUCAUCUCAAAUCAACAGGAUCAAAAUUAUAUUUGAAAAAUGUACUCAAUAAUAUGUAUAAGAUGAGAUAAAAUUAAUUCUAAUUGAAUUCACACAGCAUUUGAAAUUGGAUGUAAAUCUGUAAUACCAAGUUACAUUACAUAUGAAUUAUUAUUAUAUUUGCAUUCAGGAAAUUGUACUGUGUUCACAUCUGAGUAUCACUUAAAAAGAACAUUAGAACAGAUACCCUAUUUUCACUUUCUCUUCUCUUUUCCUGCUCCUUUUCUUCCUAUUUUCAAUAACCUAAGUGUCCUUGAAAAAUCUCUCCAUCUUAAUUAUCAAUAUGAAAGACUGAUUCUGAGAAAUGUAGAGAACCUAAGAUUUGCAUUUUAGUGGAAUAUAGAAUAUAAUUAAUAAAUAUUUUUAUAAGUAAAAUAUUUAAGAGGUAACAAUUUUAAGAUCUUAAAAGUCUUCUAUCAAAUACUGAAUUUUAGAUGUUAAGGCUAGUAGAGCUAUACAAAAAACAACAGCUUCUUGUAUGAAUGUUCCUCAGUUAGUUUAAAGAUUUAGUGUUCUAUUAUCAGUAUGUGGGCGUUAAAAAAACGAGUCAUUUGAAACUGAUAGAGAUAAUUAAGAAAUUCUUAGAUUUUGGGUAUAGGUGCUGCAACUUAGAAUUUAAGUGUCACCCCAAAGAGAUUAGUAUUGGUCAUAACAUGGACUCUAAAGCCACCAUUUAAAUGAAGCAUGUAAAAAAGAAUAUUCUAGUACACAAAAGUUAUUAAUGGCCUAGAAUGACCUCCUUCUCACUCAUAUGAUGUGAAGAAUACAGUAUAUAAAAAUGUUUGUUACAAUGGCUAUCCAUAAAAAAAGAAAACCCUCCAAAACAGCAAAAUUGAAUAGGUAUCCACAGUCAACUUUAUCCUGAAAAUUGCCUAGAAAUACUGGUUGUGAUUACACAGCAUUCUGAGACCAAUGAAUCUUUAGCCAGUAAUAAUUUCCUACCCUAAAGCUAUUCUCUACUUCCUCCUUAGUGACAGAGCUCCUUUCUGCUCAAAUUUUAUGCCAGAUAAAAUAUUCACCUUCUCGGACUCCCUGGCACCAGGCAUGGCCAUGUAAUGUAAGUGUAGGCAAUGAGACUAGGUAUGGACCCAUUAGGGGUUUCUCAGAAUGUUUUUGCUUUUCUAAUAUAGACAACCCUUUGUCUCUUUCUCUUUCUCCAGCCUACAGCACAGCUGAUGAAAGAGAAGCCAUCUUGCUGCUAUUUGACAAGCAAGAAGAUAAAAGCUUUCCUAUAAAGAUGAUGGAGCAAAAAGAUAGAAGGGGCCUAGACUCCCUACCUUCACACUUCCUGCUAUGAAAGCAUUGCUAUUAUAAGGUUAAUCUGCAGAAACAGACUUCUAUGUCAUAUGCUUAAAUGCAUCAAAAUUCAUACAAUAUCCAUUAAAUUGGUAAAAGUAUCCAUCUUAAAGGAUUAAUCUGAGGGACCCACAGACACUUAACACAAUCAAAUCUCAGAAAAAAAAUCAGUUAUUUCAUUGUUAUUUUGAGGCUGAUCUUUUAUGAUCUUUUAGUUAUCAAACUGUUAAAUACAUUUUAACUUUCAAAUUUUAUGAAUAAAGGAGAUGAAUCCUGUUAUUUUCUCAGUG